CUGUGGGCUUUGCUCGCUCCACAGCAGGAGACUUGUGGCUUCCUUGGAAGCUGCUCUUUUUUUGUGGUCCCACUGCCUUGGAGGGUGCAGCAGAGGUUCAGCACAGUUGGCUGCACGCAUGCAGCAGAGGUUCAGCCCAUCCAUCUGCUCAGCCCCUCUCAGCACAGAGAGUCCCCCAGCCCAGGCUCUGCUCCCCAUGAUCAGGGCACUUCCAAAACCCAUCCCACAUGAUGCUGCCUAAUCAAUUUCUAACUGCUUCUUGUAUUGUUGCCUAGAAAUUAAACCCCUAGGGGUUUAAUCUAAAUGAUUUAAUAUAUAUGCAAAAGGAU
Long non-coding RNA from Neopsephotus bourkii (Bourke's parrot), 329 nucleotides. RefSeq lists it as uncharacterized. NCBI's taxonomy places the organism in Eukaryota, Metazoa, Chordata, Aves, Psittaciformes, Psittacidae. The record is from RefSeq and is a predicted model, not a curated record. The transcript is spliced from 2 exons.